GCGUCGGUGGUAUAACGGUUAGCAUAGCUGACUUCCAAGCAGUUGACCCGGGUUCGACUCCCGGCCGACGCA
RNAcentral lists this transfer RNA (72 nucleotides) under Nephila pilipes (giant wood spider). It matches the Rfam family "tRNA". Rfam says of the family: Transfer RNA (tRNA) molecules are approximately 80 nucleotides in length. Their secondary structure includes four short double-helical elements and three loops (D, anti-codon, and T loops). Lineage: Eukaryota; Metazoa; Arthropoda; Arachnida; Araneae; Nephilidae. The record is from Rfam by way of RNAcentral.